This 527-nucleotide ribosomal RNA is filed under the name uncultured bacterium. RNAcentral describes it as "bacterial SSU rRNA". It matches the Rfam family "Bacterial small subunit ribosomal RNA", at positions 984 to 1509 of the family's 1533-position model. The record is from RNAcentral.
ACAUCCAGAGAAUUUAGCAGAGAUGCUUUUAGUGCCCUUCGGGAACUCUGAGACAGGUGCUGCAUGGCUGUCGUCAGCUCGUGUUGUGAAAUGUUGGUUAAGUCCCGNAACGAGCGCAACCCUUAUCCUUUGUUGCCAGCACGUAAUGGUGGGAACUCAAAGGAGACUGCCGGUGAUAAACCGGAGGAAGGUGGGGAUGACGUCAAGUCAUCAUGGCCCUUACGAGUAGGGCUACACACGUGCUACAAUGGCGCAUACAAAGAGAAGCGACCUCGCGAGAGCAAGCGGACCUCAUAAAGUGCGUCGUAGUCCGGAUUGGAGUCUGCAACUCGACUCCAUGAAGUCGGAAUCGCUAGUAAUCGUAAAUCAGAAUGUUACGGUGAAUACGUUCCCGGGCCUUGUACACACCGCCCGUCACACCAUGGGAGUGGGUUGCAAAAGAAGUAGAUAGCUUAACCUUCGGGAGGGCGUUUACCACUUUGUGAUUCAUGACUGGGGUGAAGUCGUAACAAGGUAAGCGUAGUGCU